Long non-coding RNA from Gasterosteus aculeatus (three-spined stickleback), 1446 nucleotides. The record is from Ensembl. NCBI's taxonomy places the organism in Eukaryota, Metazoa, Chordata, Actinopteri, Perciformes, Gasterosteidae.
AUGCAACGAUUAAAGAAUUCAGAAGCACUGAAUGACAGUUCAGCCGAGGCUCAGGGCAGUGAGGAGGCAGGAGAUGGUGAAGGCGGUAUGUCCCAGGGCGCAAGUGAUGAGGGAGACAAAGGUACAAGUGAUGGAGGGGUUACUUCAAGUAGUGUGUCUUCAGAAGUUACUGUUGAAAAUACACCGGUCGGUAUGGACCAGAAUGAGGGGAAGAUUAAGGUCAAUGAAAAACAGGAUGAGGUGAAGAUGAGUAUAGGCCCGUCGGUGGGAACAUCCCCAUCAGAUAUUAUUGAGCCUUCAUGUCAACAAACCAAAACAAACGCAGACCCCAGAGUUGCACAGGAGGAGCCUGAUAAGGCCAAUGCAAAGAAAACCGCUAGCGAUGGAACGAGGAAAAUGGCUGCCAAUUUGGGUCAAAACGAAGUUGUUCCAGAAUCUAAACCGACGCCCGUGAUGACACCUGACCCUUCCAAGCUUUCGGACUCUUCUUCGGGCAUUAUACGCCCAUCCGCCUCCCCUGAUCCCAGCGGCAAACGCAAGAUGGCCGCCACGCUCCAUGGCCUUCCGCCCGCAGGUGGAACCGGCUCAACGGAGAAGAAGCCACCCACCCAGAGGGAGCGGAAGGUUGAGACUGACGGAAGCUGGUGCCAGACCCAACUUCCCGAGGCGGUGGCAGAGCGGUCCGUGGCGGCCACUGGAGCACUCGGGCCUGGAACUGGGGUGGAUGUAGGAGCAGGAGUUAGGCUGAGGGGUGAUGCCAGCCCUGCAGGUAGAAGGGACAGGGAUGCCAGAACAACAGACCGACACAGCGCUGAGUUUAACCUAGCGAGGCCAGGUCCUGCAACAGGGCAGGGUUGUUAUACCGUAGGGAGCUCUGCUAGUUUAGGCCGUCAUACAACGCCAUACAAUCCAGAGAUUGCUAGUGUAGGGAUGGGGAUGGCAGGGAGCUACGGGAGUCCGUACUGUUCCUUGUACACAAGCGGAGGAGGGAUGUAUGGGACCGGGCUGCCACAUGGAGGAGGCGGGAGCAGCGCUACAAGCGACUGGCAGAUGGACAGUGUGAUCGAGGCGAUAGAAAAGCAAAUGGCCGCAGUGCUGGAGAAGAUUGAGGGAGACAUGCCCUCGCUGCUCGAGCAAAUCAGUGACUGUCCUGCUGAGGCACCGCACGCCAGGAGCACGCACGCCUCGCCUGCCGCGUCUCGCGCACGCUCCUCGCAGCACUCCACGGCCGCCGCCUCAGCCACUCCGCCGCCUCUUCCAACUUCUCCGAGGCCAGUGUUGCCGUCUAUCCCUCGCUUCACUAUCCCUCCACCCUCUUAUCCUCCACCCUCCCCACCCACACAAUCCUCCCCACGGGGUGCAGGAGAGCAGGAAGAGACAGAUGGACAGAGGAGUGCUGCUUGUUCCAGCCAGUCCCCCAGAGCUGGGAUGAGUAGGGGGCUAUGA